AGAGUUUGAUCAUGGCUCAGAACGAACGCUGGCGGCGUGCUUAACACAUGCAAGUCGAGUGCGCGGUUGUAGCAAUACAACUGGCGCACGGCGCACGGGUGCGUAACACGUGGCAAUCUGCCCUCCGAUGGGGAAUAACUCCGGGAAACCGAAGCUAAUUCCGCAUAACAUUCCCUGGACUCCGGUUCGGGGAUUCAAAGCAGCAAUGCGUCGGAGGAGGAGCCCGCGCCCGAUUAGCUAGUUGGUGAGGUAACGGCUCACCAAGGCUAUGAUCGGUAGCUGGUCUGAGAGGAUGCCAGCCACACUGGAACUGAGACACGGUCCAGACUCCUACGGGAGGCAGCAGUGGGGAAUCUUGCGCAAUGGGCGAAAGCCUGACGCAGCGACGCCGCGUGGGGGAUGAAGCUUCUCGGAGUGUAAACCCCUUUCGACCGGGACGAAUGCCCGCAAGGGAGUGACGGUACCGGUAGAAGAAGCCCCGGCUAACUACGUGCCAGCAGCCGCGGUAAGACGUAGGGGGCCAGCGUUGUUCGGAAUUACUGGGUGUAAAGGGUUCGUAGGCGGUGUGGCAAGUCGGGAGUGAAAUUUCUGGGCUUAACUCAGAACCCGCUUCCGAAACUGCUGUGCUGGAGUGUGGGAGAGGCGCGUGGAAUUGCAGGUGUAGCGGUGAAAUGCGUAGAUAUCUGCAGGAACACCCGUGGCGAAAGCGGCGCGCUGGACCACUACUGACGCUGAGGAACGAAAGCUAGGGGAGCAAACAGGAUUAGAUACCCUAGUAGUCC
RNAcentral lists this ribosomal RNA (782 nucleotides) under uncultured bacterium. RNAcentral's name for it is "bacterial SSU rRNA". It matches the Rfam family "Bacterial small subunit ribosomal RNA", at positions 8 to 796 of the family's 1533-position model. The record is from RNAcentral.